This is a long non-coding RNA of Homo sapiens (human), 1840 nucleotides long. Lineage: Eukaryota; Metazoa; Chordata; Mammalia; Primates; Hominidae. The record is from Ensembl.
CGCGGCCCUAAGGUGCUGGCGGGCGUUUGGCGUUGCAGCUGUGUGGGCGCUGGUGCGUGCGAGUAGCGCUCGAAGAAACCCAAAGGCGUCGUGGGGCUGCCGUGUGCCCCAGAGAGCACUGCAGGCCGGGUAGGGGCUAAGGCUCCCCGCAGUCUUCUGUGUGUCGUCCAGUACGCAGUUGAAAUCGUUCUCCAACCUGGCCAGUCCUCCGAGGCCCUUCUCAGGCGACCAGACUCUGUUAACAGAGUCCAUUGCUAAAACUCCUCGUUAGUAUUUACCACUCCUCCAGUCUGUGUUUUGAAGCAGUGGUUUUCAACCACUGCCCGUUUUCAGAAGAAAUCAUCUCAAGCGUCCGUGUGCUGCUAGAAGCCGGGCCGGGAGGUCUUGGUGCCGGACUCCACCCUGCAGCCCUUCCCUUUCGCCACCGCCCUGUGCUUAGAGAAACCUUAGAGUGGAGCAAUGAGUCGCCCUUGACUGAGUAACUCUUCGGGGUCAACUUCUCCUUCCACGCCAAGGAAAGGAUUCCAGGGCGAUGUUUCUGGAAAUAGAGAUCUGACCAAGCCACUGCUCUGGUGAAAAUUCAGUGGGUCCCUAGCACCUAGUGCAGCGGCUCCUAGCCUGAGUAUUGCCGUCUUUCGGUGGGGAGGGGUUGGGUUUUUUUGUAGCAUCUGUUGAUCUGAUCUCCAACAUCCUCCACGUCAAUUCCCACUCCACCCACAUCCCUUAUCCUAUACGUAAGCUUUCCAGCCACGGUGCUGGCUUGGGUGGGGGUGCGUGCGGUGCUGACACCAAAAUGGAGGUCCCGUGUUUCUGAGAGUCUCUUUCAGAGCAAUGCAAACCUGAAACUACUCCUGCCAAGAAACGAUUGCAGCUCUUCCCGGAAAAGUUAAAGCCUUUGAGAAACAAAGCUGAGUAAGAAGGAGAACUAAGAAAGAGACUGAAGCAUGGUCUGUGGAGAAGGCACUUGUGCAAACACCAGGAGAAUGAGGGGCCUGAGUUGUCUUCGUUUCUCCUAAAAGCAUGCAUUCCCGGCUGGGCGCGGUGACUCAUGCGUGUAAUCCCGCCACUUUAGAAGGCUGAGGCAGGCGGAUCACCUGAGAUCGGGAGUUCGAGACCAGCCCGACCAACAUGGAGAAACCCCAUCUCUAUUAAAAAUACAAAAUUACCCAGGCAUGGUGGCACAUGCCUGUAAUCCCAGCUACUUGGGAGGCGAAGGCAGGAGAAUUGCUUGAACCCAGAAGGCGGAAGCUGCAGAGAGCCGAGAUUUCGCCAUUGUACUCCAGCCUGGGCAACAAGAGUGAAACUCCAUCUCAAAAAACAAACAAACAAACACACAAACAAACAAACAAACACAUUCCCUCCCAGGCCACCCAAGUGAGGGCAUGAAGCACAGCGUGUGUGUGUGUGUGUGUGUGUGUGUGUGCACGCGUGUGUGCAUAUGUGUGUUUGUGUGUUGCAGGGGUUACAGUGGACAGGAUGUGGGAGGGCAGCUGCAGCUCCAAGCUGCAAGUCUUUCUGAUAGAAUGCUUAAAACUCCUUGGACCACAGCAAGAGAGUGUUUUCAUUUGCACCCAUUUUUAUUAGCGUUUGAACCUGUACUUUUUGUAGCAUGUAAACCUUAAGCUGCUUAACUAUUCCUUGAAGCAUUUACACCAGCGGUUCCCAACCUUUUUGCUACCUGAGACCAGUUUUCUUGAAGACAAUUCUUCCACGGACCCGGGAGAAGGGGAAGGGAUGAUGUGGAGAUGAUUCAAGCCCAUUACAUUUAUUGUGUGCUUCAUUUCUAUUAUUUCACUGUAAUAUAUAAUGAAAUAAUUACACAACUCACCAUAAUGUGGAA